Molecule: unclassified non-coding RNA, 666 nt
Filed under: Hevea brasiliensis (rubber tree)
Lineage: Eukaryota; Viridiplantae; Streptophyta; Magnoliopsida; Malpighiales; Euphorbiaceae
Source: RNAcentral
UGCAAAAUUCUCCUCCUCCCGACUCGCGGGUGUUUCUUAAAUAAGGCUUUAGCCGGCCUUGUGCUUGUCCCGUUUAUCGAAACUUUUCCCUGGUCAAGCUUUGUCUAUUCAUUUCUAAACCACUUCAAAAACGCGCUUCGCUCAACUCUCAACCGCUUACUUCCUGGUCUUCGUCUCCAAAACUUCUAACUCAAAGCUCCUUUUCUCCCUCUCCGUCGCCGGCAAGUCGUUUUCGCAGAUCCUUCCCUCUCCCGAACGGUGCCGUUUCUCUGCUAAGCUGUCAGAUCCAGGCGAUCUGAAUCUGACUUGUGCGAUUAUCGGCACCGAUCUCCAAUUUUGUUUUUCUUUUUCUGUCUUUUCCAUAUAUGGAGAAUUUGAUUUCUUUGGUUAAUAAAAUACAGAGAGCUUGUACGGCUCUCGGUGAUCACGGUGAAGCAAGCGCAUUGCCUACGCUCUGGGACUCCUUGCCUGCUAUUGCUGUCGUCGGUGGCCAGAGUUCAGGGAAGUCCUCAGUGUUGGAAAGCAUUGUAGGGAAGGACUUUUUACCGCGUGGAUCUGGGAUUGUUACUCGGCGUCCUCUUGUGUUGCAGCUUCAUAAGAGUGAUGAAGGUAGCAGAGACUAUGCAGAGUUCCUUCACCUCCCGAGGAAAAGGUUCACUGAUUUUG